RNAcentral lists this unclassified non-coding RNA (325 nucleotides) under Hevea brasiliensis (rubber tree). Lineage: Eukaryota; Viridiplantae; Streptophyta; Magnoliopsida; Malpighiales; Euphorbiaceae. The record is from RNAcentral.
CUCGUCCUUGCGGUGUCGUUUCAGUUCCUGCUAUCCUCUCUUCAUCCCUACGUUAUUAUUGUGAGAAGCCAAGAACCGGUCAACACUCACAAUACUUGACUCUUUUUUUGAGAUUUCAAUAUCUUUAGGGGAGCAAACAAUGUUUGGGGGUUGCACUUUUUUUUGAAGUGGGAUUAUCUGAUUCCAGCUUACUUUCCACAGUGUUUGGUGCUUCCAAGUUUUUCCUUUGUAAAAUCAAGACAACAAAGCAUGUGAUCUUAAUCAAAGUUCAGCGUUUUUUGGGACUUUGAAUGUCAUAUUAUCUUGUUUUUUUUUUUUUAGUUGG